GUGAUUAGGAGCUUUCAGAUGGUGGAUAGGGACAGGAGCGGAUAUGUAGAUGAGAACGAGUUGCAACUAGCUCUCUCUUCUGGGUACCAACGGUUCAAUAUUAGGACUAUUAGGCUGCUGAUGUUUCUCUUCAAGAAUCCAAAUGAUCCUCUGCGAAUUGGUAAUAUUUGAUUUGCUGCUUUGUGGAGUUGUCUUGGUCAAUGGCGAGUAAUAUUUGAGAGAUAUGAUAAAGACAG
RNAcentral lists this unclassified non-coding RNA (236 nucleotides) under Hevea brasiliensis (rubber tree). Lineage: Eukaryota; Viridiplantae; Streptophyta; Magnoliopsida; Malpighiales; Euphorbiaceae. The record is from RNAcentral.